Long non-coding RNA from Lacerta agilis (Sand lizard), 946 nucleotides. RefSeq lists it as uncharacterized. NCBI's taxonomy places the organism in Eukaryota, Metazoa, Chordata, Lepidosauria, Squamata, Lacertidae. The record is from RefSeq and is a predicted model, not a curated record. The transcript has 2 exons.
GGAAAGGGCCCUUUGCUAUGAAGAUCUGUAUUACUUUUAACGAUCAAGUUAAUGUGAAAUCUGCCGUUGAACUAUUAACUCCGGUGCGUAUUGCAUGGAUAGUGAAUAUGUGGGGUGUUUUUUUUUUCCCCUAAAGAAAAGUAACUUCUUGGUGAUUUAUGAGGAGCUAAUUCUUCAGGCUGUGCUUUAUAGGAGACAAGCUUGCCUCACUGGAGUCCUGGUAACUCUGCUUAUCAUUUCGCCUUUUCAAAACAAAAACCCACCAAAAAAGAUGACCUGGAAUUCAUUUGCUUCGGUUGAACUUCAGAGAUCUUGAAUUCUGAGAAAUACAAAUGCGAAUGGACAGAAAGGCAGCAGCCUCGCCACCCAUUUUGCCUUCCUCACGGAGGUUCUCCGUUGCCUUCAUCUGUUACUUCGAGGACUGGGAAAUCUGAACGCUUUUGGGAUAGCUAAAAAUGCUGCAUUUCAUUUUAGGGAACAGGGCUAGGCUGCCCCGCCUCUUUCUGCACACAUAGCAGUGGAAUGCAUGCGGAAGAAAGAAGGCGCAGAGCAGACCUGAGGUCGAGAUCCAAAACACAAUUACUUGGAGGGAGAGCGCGCGCGCUGAAAUCAAUGGACAUCGUUUUUCAAAUGAUUGGUUAGCAUCCAAGUGCAACUAAGCUGUAAAGUCUCUACGAAUUUAAAAGCUGCAAGGCUUAAGCAUAUUUACUCAGAGGGUUCUUACCUCCUCGCGUUUCCAACCAGCGGGCAGAAUUGUUUCCAGAUUGUAGGUGUCUUUAAACCGCAUUUUCCGGUGCACCGGAGUGCUGUAAAUAAAGAACAAGCAAUAGCUAAAUAAGAGAACUAUAGGGGAUGAGCAUUAUUUUCGAAAGAAGACGUGGGUCAGCUGCUGAGUUGUUUUAGCAGAUCCUCGGUGGGUAUAUAAUCAUUAAAAGGACGCUGUUGA